GGCGGUUAUAUUUCGUUGAAACACCGGUUCUCGUACGAUCAUCGAAGUUAAACAACGUCGACCCUGGUCAGUAUCUAGAUGGGUAACCGUUUGGGAAUAUUAGGUG
Non-coding RNA from Acanthosepion pharaonis, 106 nucleotides. NCBI's taxonomy places the organism in Eukaryota, Metazoa, Mollusca, Cephalopoda, Sepiida, Sepiidae. The record is from the annotation of a GenBank genome assembly.